RNAcentral lists this long non-coding RNA (1768 nucleotides) under Sitophilus oryzae (rice weevil). Its description in RNAcentral is "uncharacterized LOC115889979". The record is from RNAcentral. Lineage: Eukaryota; Metazoa; Arthropoda; Insecta; Coleoptera; Curculionidae.
CCAAGUCGUUUCAGUCGUUUAGGUUCCGCUCCUAACAUUUUUCUUAUUUUAUGAUAGAAAAAGCGAUUUUUCUGUGCACUAUUUCAGUUUAUUCUGUUCCUUAAGGUCUGCUUAAUCUCCUGAAAAUGAGUGUUAUUAACAAUGCACAUCUGUCUUGCAAAGACCACCUAAAAGACGAGACCUGCAGUGCGAUUCUGUAAACAUAUUUCCUGUCUAGUGACUCAUCAAUCGUAUACAAAUAACAUAGGCUAGGCAAGAAAUUUCUUGCUACGGAGCCUACUCAGAAUCCCACAGCUGGGUCACCACAUAUAAUUCUGAUGUUUCUCUAUUAUUCUUGGCUAUACGAGAUUGGUUUUACAUUAUCCAGAUAAAAAUUUCGUACAGCAAAUCAAUGGAUGUAUACAGUUUCAGGGUAGUACAUUUAUCCUUUCCAACAAUGGCAUCAGGACUUAUAAGUAUAUCUAAACUUUUAUUUGUUUUGGGUAAAUCUAUUUAUACUGGUAUUUAACGUUGGUCUGUGGAUUUCAUGAUAUCUAAAUUUAAUUAAUUAGGAAAGACUUACAAUAGGUCUCUGAGUUACAUUUUUAUGGUUUCUUAUUGCCACAGAAAAAAAUUCUUACUAUCUAUUUUUAGUUUUGGCUUUUGGCCAAAUUUGGCCAAGUCAAUUUCUGGCUUUUGGCCUUUUUUUUUGGUAUAGUAGCAUCCACUUAGAACUUUACUUGAUGGCGUACAUCAUGAUGUUUUUUGUUAUUUUUUGAUUGUUAUUUUUUUGGAUUACUUUCUUUUCUCUAUAAUAGCUGGCAUCCCAUAUUUUCUUGAUUGUGGAAAUAAUAUCAUUUAUUAUUUCUCUAACAUAUUUCAUUAACUCUAUUUCUUAGUUUUUAUUUCUUUGGUGAAAUAUACCAUCUACAGAAUUUUAGUUUUGAUGGAUUUAUUUUCAUGUCAUUUUUCACAAAUCAUAUGCCAUGAAUUGCUAUAAUUUUACGCAUUCUGUUGGUUUGGUUUGCCUGUAUUUAAAUAUAAAAAAUUCAAAAUGAGGACUAAUUCCCAAUCGAUCCCUGGCGCAUUCGCCAUUUAGUUAAAAUACCUGUUUCAGCCACAGAUUGUCACUUCUGGAUUUUCUAUCAAUUUUCCUAUGAAUUUUCCUGAUUAACAUCGACUCCAGAGUAUCAUAGCUAGCCUCCCCUAAGAAGAGGAGACCCGGGUCACCCCUCUAACCUGGGUUCUCUAAUGUAUUUUAUUUCUUUUGUCAAUAUAUAGUUGUUAUUUUAGAUUAUUUUCAAUCACUUUUUUCAAUUGAUCAUACAAAUCCAUUUAAAAUUGAGUUUUUGGAUGGGAUAUUGUACUGCUUUGGAACAGCUGCUCUUCAACCACCCUUUUCAAGCUUCAAGAUGCCAUUAGGCUGAUUAAAUUCAACAUUCAACAGUGGAAUGUGGAAAUUCAUCAUUGAAGAAGAACUAAAUAACUUUAGAUUUUGUACAAUAAAUUGAUGGAUGUAUAUACAGUUCCAGGGCAGUACAUUUAUCCAUUUGAUGAAUAUUACCAACGAUGGUAUCAAGACAGCUGUACCUUAAUUCAACCAAUUUAACAUUCAACAGUGGAAUAAGGAUGAAAUUCAUUAUUGAAGAGGAAACUAAAUAAUUUUAGAACCAAGACUUUUCAGAAGGGUAGCCAGAAGAUUUAUUUACCUCAACAUAUAGACAAAAGCAUGUCCAUCAGCCACCUUGGAUUUUAAUAUACAUUUUAUAUUACUAUUGUUAAUACAAAC